UGCUACUGUCAGCUGAUUUGCAGUUAAAACUCAGCGAUCUGGCUCCAGCAGGGAGCUGCUCUGGUUUUUAGAGACAUUCUGGAAAAGCCAGUCUAGCAACAGCACAAGGGGUGUUACCGAUGGUGAGGAGCUGCAGGGCUCAGGACAGAGCCCCUGUGUUCUGCUCAACAGCAGAUGAGAGAGACACUUGCUCUGCUCUAUCUCCUGACACUCAGAAGUCAGGGCAGGAUGAAAACAGUUUCUACUGGUUCUGCUGUAGAAUCAGGUGUUUCUACUGAUUUUUUGAAACUUGUACUUCAAAUCAAAGAAAUACACAUACUCCUUUCUACCUUCAUGUUUGUCUGAAAUAAAUUAAAAAUGUUCACUCCGGUAUAAAAAUUAAAAACUUAAAAUCCUACCUGACUUGGAUAGGAAACUUGAUGACAGGGAUCCCAGAUGUAAGGAUGAAAGCAUUCUAAGAUCAUAUAAAAUCAUUUUGGGUGUAAUCGUCUUACAUUUAUAGACUACUUUGAAAUGUUGCUGAUAACAUUAUUUCUAAAACUUUAGUACUG
Molecule: long non-coding RNA, 551 nt
Filed under: Bos taurus (domestic cattle)
Lineage: Eukaryota; Metazoa; Chordata; Mammalia; Artiodactyla; Bovidae
Description: long non-coding RNA NONBTAT019529
Source: RNAcentral